GAUGAAGAACGCAGCGAAAUGCGAUAAGUAAUGUGAAUUGCAGAAUUCAGUGAAUCAUCGAAUCUUUGAUCGCACAUUGCGCCCGCCAGUAUUCUGGCGGGCAUGCCUGUCUGAGCGUCAUUUCAACCCUCAUGCCCCUAGGGCGUGGUGUUGGGGAUCGGCCAAAGCCCGCGAGGGACGGCCGGCCCCUAAAUCUAGUGGCGGACCCGUCGUGGCCUCCUCUGCGAAGUAGUGAUAUUCCGCAUCGGAGAGCGAUGAGCCCCUGCCGUUAAACCCCCAACUUUCCAAGGUUGACCUCAGAUCAGGUAGGAAUACCCGCUGAACUUAAGCAUAUCAAUAAGCGGAGGA
This 348-nucleotide unclassified non-coding RNA is filed under the name soil metagenome. RNAcentral's name for it is "partial contains 5.8S ribosomal RNA, internal transcribed spacer 2, and large subunit ribosomal RNA". The stretch from base 1 to 120 matches the Rfam family "5.8S ribosomal RNA", at positions 35 to 154 of the family's 154-position model. The record is from RNAcentral.